Molecule: transfer RNA, 63 nt
Filed under: Heterocephalus glaber (naked mole-rat)
Lineage: Eukaryota; Metazoa; Chordata; Mammalia; Rodentia; Bathyergidae
Rfam family: tRNA
About the family: Transfer RNA (tRNA) molecules are approximately 80 nucleotides in length. Their secondary structure includes four short double-helical elements and three loops (D, anti-codon, and T loops).
Source: Rfam by way of RNAcentral
GGGGAUUUAGCUCAGUGGGACAGUGCCUGCCUGGCAACCAGGAGGUCCUGAGUUCAAUCCCCG